AGAGUUUGAUCAUGGCUCAGAUUGAACGCUGGCGGCAUGCCUUACACAUGCAAGUCGAACGGCAGCACGGGAGCUUGCUCCUGGUGGCGAGUGGCGAACGGGUGAGUAAUAUAUCGGAACGUGCCCUAGAGUGGGGGAUAACUAGUCGAAAGAUUAGCUAAUACCGCAUACGAUCUACGGAUGAAAGUGGGGGAUCGCAAGACCUCAUGCUCCUGGAGCGGCCGAUAUCUGAUUAGCUAGUUGGUGGGGUAAAGGCCUACCAAGGCUACGAUCAGUAGCUGGUCUGAGAGGACGACCAGCCACACUGGAACUGAGACACGGUCCAGACUCCUACGGGAGGCAGCAGUGGGGAAUUUUGGACAAUGGGCGCAAGCCUGAUCCAGCAAUGCCGCGUGAGUGAAGAAGGCCUUCGGGUUGUAAAGCUCUUUUGUCAGGGAAGAAACGGUGAGAGCUAAUAUCUCUUGCUAAUGACGGUACCUGAAGAAUAAGCACCGGCUAACUACGUGCCAGCAGCCGCGGUAAUACGUAGGGUGCAAGCGUUAAUCGGAAUUACUGGGCGUAAAGCGUGCGCAGGCGGUUGUGCAAGACAGAUGUGAAAUCCCCGGGCUCAACCUGGGAAUUGCAUUUGUGACUGCACGGCUAGAGUGUGUCAGAGGGGGGUAGAAUUCCACGUGUAGCAGUGAAAUGCGUAGAUAUGUGGAGGAAUACCGAUGGCGAAGGCAGCCCCCUGGGAUAACACUGACGCUCAUGCACGAAAGCGUGGGGAGCAAACAGGAUUAGAUACCCUGGUAGUCCACGCCCUAAACGAUGUCAACUAGUUGUCGGGUCUUAAUUGACUUGGUAACGCAGCUAACGCGUGAAGUUGACCGCCUGGGGAGUACGGUCGCAAGAUUAAAACUCAAAUGAAUUGACGG
Molecule: ribosomal RNA, 914 nt
Filed under: uncultured bacterium
Lineage: Bacteria
Description: bacterial SSU rRNA
Rfam family: Bacterial small subunit ribosomal RNA
Source: RNAcentral